This 253-nucleotide ribosomal RNA is filed under the name uncultured bacterium. Its description in RNAcentral is "partial 16S ribosomal RNA". It matches the Rfam family "Bacterial small subunit ribosomal RNA", at positions 524 to 776 of the family's 1533-position model. The record is from RNAcentral.
UACGAAGGGGGCUAGCGUUGCUCGGAAUCACUGGGCGUAAAGCGCACGUAGGCGGAUUGUUAAGUCAGGGGUGAAAUCCUGGAGCUCAACUCCGAGCCUGCGUUCGAUACUGGACGGCUAGAGUCUGGUAGGGGGAUCUGGAAUUCCUGGUGUAGCGGUGGAAUGCGCAGAUAUCAGGAGGAACACCGGUGGCGAAGGCGGGAUCUUGGGCCAGUACUGACGCUGAGGAGCGAAAGCGUGGGGAGCAAACAGG